RNAcentral lists this ribosomal RNA (180 nucleotides) under uncultured Glomeromycotina. Its description in RNAcentral is "partial small subunit ribosomal RNA". The stretch from base 44 to 180 matches the Rfam family "Eukaryotic small subunit ribosomal RNA", at positions 689 to 828 of the family's 1831-position model. Lineage: Eukaryota; Fungi; Glomeromycota. The record is from RNAcentral.
GGGUUUACCCAUUGGUCAGGCUUAAUUGUCUGUACUGGUGAGAUAAAUCUCUACCUUCUGAGGAACUUUCAUGUCAUUAAUUUGGUGUGAUUGGAAAUCAGGACUGUUACUUUGAAAAAAUUAGAGUGUUUAAAGCAGGCUAACGUCUGAAUACAUUAGCAUGGAAUAAUGAAAUAGGAC